GGGGGGGGGUCACCAACCGGUGACGGACAUCGCUCAAAUUAAACCCCGGACAGAACACGAACGCGUGGGGCUCCCCCGCCUGCCGCUCAGUGCAGACAUAAUAUUUAAUAAUGUUAAAGAGCAGGCGCGUCCGUCUGAAAUGCAGGGCUUUGGAGACAAGGGCCGAUGAACGGCAGCAGAUACAGCAAUUUGUUCAACUCCGGGGGACGCUGUGGGAUGAGAGUUGGGAAUAUGGCAGUAUUGCAGGUGGGUUCCUGAAACCUAUGUCGACCUUUGAAUUUUCUCCGGAUACGGUACUCUGGGUUCCUCCGACACGAAGAGCACUCGAUUUUAAAUGUGAACUGCCCAAAACUGACCUCCUUGAAAAAGACUUAAGUCUCUCCCGGAUAAAUGUCAAUGAACUGCUGGAUGAGUGGCCUCGUGCCUUUGUGGGUUGUUUAACCUUUCGCCACGCUGGGCAGUGCGGGUUGGUGAAGGCAGGGAGCACAGACUCGGAAGCAAAGAAGUGUAGUACAACUUUUGCAUGCUCUUCACUGCACCGUGUCAGUUCUCGGAAGCUAGGCUAAGGAAAAUUGAGCCUGGUUAGUGCUCGGAUGAGGGUACGCAAUGCAUACACACCGGUUGCGGGGAGAUGGAUUACAGGGCGACUUUAAUAUUCGUGGUAAUUCCCGGCAACCCCGUGCCAUUGGUACCAGCGUGAGGGCUGGUAAUGCCCACGCAAACUGAUCCCCGAUUGAACUUGUAACCCCAAAGCCUCGUUAAACGUUGCCAUGCUGGUUCCGUUUUCAAGGGAAAACCCGCUGGCCUCUCCCAGAUCUUUAAAAAGAAGAGUGUGUCAGUGGAUUCUCACCAUCAUCACGGUCCAUGGGUGGAUAGCCCGUAGUUGUCCACUGCACGUUUCGUCAUUUAUUGCUACUUUCCUCUGUCUUGUGCCAAUAUGCUCAAGUAGUGCCAUAUCUUCGUCGUCAAGCCAUUCUCUGUCAGGUCUUCCUCUCUAUCACCUAUUUAUCAAGGAUGAAUACAUCAAUUAAAAUGAUUCCCCUUCCUCUGCAUUAUGAUAAAUGUGCCUCAGUAGUGGCGCUUCAGACCCAAUCCCACACGGUAAAAGCUCAACCCAUGCCCGAUAAGAAUUUGUAAACUCUUUAGAGGUUCAAUCUUGAUUUUAAGCUUUCGUGAUAGCAGGAAUCCAUUCUCUUUGGUUCUUUCGGUAAAGUCACGUAGAUAGAAAAAUAAAAUUAAAAAUUAUAUAUCACGACGUUUCGAUCGCAACACAAGUGGUCGUCUUCAACUCAUUAUUAGUGGAACUGCUGGAUUAUUUUUAUUUUAUUUGUAUUUAGAGGUUGUUUAGUUAGACGGUCCACCACAACACUCCAGUUGAUAUCACUGCAUUGAUGCCUGUCAUCUAAUAUCGACUCGCCUGACCCAUAACAUUUAAAGCAUUUUUGUUGUUCCCCUUAACUAAGCUUCGUGCGAGAGUGUUAGCAAAAUUUGUUUAUAAUUAUUUACACCCCCCCCCCCCCCUAUACGUGAAGGCCCUUCCACGGGCAUGUUGGUCACGAGGAUUGGUUUUACCAUACUUCAUCACCACGCUGGUCAGUGAGGGGUUUGUUGGUGAUGCAGUGCCUCCAUUCCGGUUCAGAUUCCACUCGCCACGGAAUUGAACUUGGGUGGCCGGGUUCGUUGCCGAGUGCGCUAACCAUUCCGCCACCGCUCCCUUCCCCCCCCCCCCCUGCGUGUGAGCUGCGUGUGUUUAUGUAUUUGCUUUGGGGGUUGAGUGUCGUGACGAGAGCCGACUGCGCUUGUCCUGGCAACGAGGACAUGCAAACUGCUGGGGCCUCACCGUGGAAACGGCACGGGGCCCAUAGCCGAGAGUGACAUCGGCUCAUAACUACGACACGGAACAACGCGAACUUCAUUCUUUUAGCACCAGUCAAAGAGGCCCGUUACAAACGAAACGGCGAGAGGGAACGCCGUUCCCACUAGGGCCAGCGAUGACUGAAAAGCGUCACACGACGGAGGUGACUGUCGAGUCUCAAGUUCGUUUCGGUGAAUGAUUAAGCUCCGGACGCAAUGUGCUACCAGCACCCCCCCACAACCCCCUGCCCGUCAUGACUACGAGAACACUCUGAUCCUGCACUGCUCGUGGGCCAUGCGGGUGCGGAGAGUGCUCGAGGGAGGUGAGCGCUCAUCGUCGUAAAGGUUACGUGUCUAGGUUAACUGGCCACAGGUAAAAAAAAAUGGCAAAUGUAGAAUGAGGGGUUACGGUGGUUUUUUUUGUUAUCACAGAGAGCAAGCGAAGGGCUCCGAUUUUCCGCAGACCUGCGGCACCUCCGAUUAGCACGGUUGGAUAUGUACGGUGCGAAAGAAGUUCAACAUUCGUACAUAUACAAGACCGAGAGGUAUAGCUAUGGGUAGGUUGAUGUUAAUAUUCUCAAAGGAUAAUUGUAGGUUAGAGAUACUGUUAGGGGUAAUAUUAAGGUUAGAGUGCAGGUUAGUUUUUAUUGUCAAAAUGGUUAAGUGUAAGCUAUAGUUAUCGUUAGGGGUAUAAAUAAUGAUCAAGGUUAGAAUGAGGGUGAGGUGGAGGUUGGUGUUAACUGUUAAAAGUUAUGUGUUAGACGUAAGUUUAGGGAUAAGCGUAUGAUUAAUGGUAAGUGUGGAUUAGGUGUAUGUGUAGGAUGAGGGUUAAGUGUUCACUUAGGUUUAAAGGUAGUGUCGUGUUUUGGUUUCAGUGUAGGAUUGUCAUUAAAAUGUAAGCUUAGGAUUAAGCAUACGGAAAUUGCUAAACGUUGGUUAAACGUAGGGGAAGGUGUUACGUGUAGGGUUAUUGGUAUAUUAUAGUUUAGGGCAGCACAAGCCAGCAUCGUUCAGGACUAUAGCGGUAAGGUAUUUACAGAAUUUGCAUACGCCACUCCGACCGAAGUCUCUCUCUCUGCACCCUCAGCACCGUUCUGGCAAUAUUCACGUACUGGGGUAACUAUCCGUGCCAUUCGCAUUCGCUCCGGCUCUAUUUGCACCAGGCAGGCUCAGUCGAGAGUGAGCCGGAGAUUUUCUCGUGCAUGACCCCGCGACGCACUGCCCUGAUGAACCCGCUGCACACUGAACCCAAUACCAGCAGCAGAGACCCGCUACACAGGGUACGGUGACAUAACCACUCAGCCGGCUCAAUCUGUGUUGUCAGGGCAGCAGACCUUUUUUUACAUGACGAAACCUGUCCUAGUUAAGCAAAACCGAUUUGAGGUCCCUGUGCAUAUAUGUAAAAACAUUGACAGUCUUCUUGUAAAUCCACUGCUGGAUGUAGGGCCUCCCCACCCCAUGUCGGCCACAGGGGUUGUUUGACCAUACUUCAUUUUGGUCAGUACAUCUUGGUGAAGGAGAGGUCCAGGACCAGUUCAGAUAGCAUUCGCGACUGAGGUUAACCGUGAACGGGAAUUCGUGAAAUUCGACUUAUGGCUCUGUGAACGAACCAGUGUUACUGCACCAGGGGCUUCCAUGUGGAGCCAGCCUACACCUUUAUUUCUCAGUUGAAAACUACGGUAAUCUCCACCUCAGAGGUGUUUUUAGGAAAGCUUUGGCCAAAAAGGUUGAGCUUAAUUAAUUUGCAUUAGGUCAUGUCAGAGGGGGCGAGUAAUACAAUAAUGAGCACAGGUGCAGUGCAAAAUGGUUCCCAAGAGACGAGACCUACAUUCUGACUCUCCCAUUAAGAACAAUGCCACUUAGCAGCAUUCCACAACCUUGAGUCAAUCAGUAUCUAUUACAGCAAGGUCCGAGGCUAUUAAGUUACUUCUGAGAAUGUAUCUGUUUUAUGAAGUUUGACGAUUAUGCUGGCUCGGGACUCUGGUGCACGUUCAAAAUCACACUCCAGAAAUACAUGUAUGUUGCUGGUGAUACUGAUAACUAUUACAAUAUGCUUAAUAAAUGAUGGCCUGAUAACAUAGGCUAGGGUCAUUGCUAUUCACGAACACCUAUUAAGGCUAGUAUUGUCAAUGGAGGGGUACAGUGGCCAAUAGCUCGUCCGGCCACAUUUUUAUCCCCAGUGCUGAUGGUUAUACUCCACACCGUGUACUAAUUUAAGGCUGAAUUCACCUCGGAGAGAUUCAGGACUGGUUCAGAUGUUCACCACUGAUGUUAGAUAUUGGCCAGGAAUGAACUCACGUGGCCGGGUUCAUAGAACAGUGCGGUAAUCACUACACCACCGCUCCCCUCAUCCACACAAAUAUUUGUGCACACUAGUGUGACAGUGCCCUUGUCAGUGCCCCUUACCAUGCUCUGUGACACCAACACUACCAAACAAGCCAUGCCCUUCAGACCCACACACGCCUGUCACACUUGGCUUGGACGCUUCUAGUCAUGUGAGUUUUACCAUUUAAUACCAUAAAUGGGUUUUUUUGUUGCUUCCUUUUUAAUUGCUGUCGCUUGUACAUUUUGUAUUCUGCGAUGUGGUCAUUCGGAAGAGUAAGCCAACACGAGAUGGCGUUUGACCCUUGAGCCAAAUAAAACUAUAAAAAGUCACCACUCUUCGAAAUCAAUGGGUACUUGCAUUGUCAAAAUAAUAGACAGUAUCUUCACUUUAAAAAUGUGACUGCAUCAGACGCACUCUGGCGCAGCUUUGGAAUUCGCAGGUAGUGCGACUGGAUUGCCGACGUGUAUCCCUUGCACUAAGGUACCAUGCCAACCACACACUGAGCUAAUUACCAGACAUUAAUUAAACAGGCCGCGUACACUUGGGGAGGGAGAGGGGGGGGUUGCCACUCUGUGCUUCCCCAACGCAUGUGCUCUCGCAAAGCAGCCUGUGCAGACGCACACCGCAUGAAAAUCCAGCUACAAUGAAUGACAAGCCAAGCACACAGCGACAAAAAGCCUUCUGGAAUACUUGCUUCAGCCCAUGUCGCGUAAACGCAUCAGUACAUAGCUUCAUUCCAACCAGAACAGUCUGGGGUUCUGUUCCGGAAAGUAUAUUGGCACACCAUAUCCAAUCUCACGUUAUUGUGUCCUUCAUGAUACCGAUGUGGUGUGUGGUAGUGUGGCAAUUUGUUUGCAUGGAUUGUGCUUAGGGUUACCAGAUGUCUUGAAGGACAGAACUUUAAAUUAUGCCACAAUAAUAUAGUAUUAUGGAUAUGUACCUUAUAUUCUCGUGGUGGUGCUUAUUCCAAGGCAGUCUAGCAGCACUUCAGAUUAUAACAAGUGAGAAAUUCAUCCGCGUGUAUAACCCAUUAAAUAUUUCAUACACUUUUGAGGGUGACAUUCAGGUGUGGAUCCGGGUUUGUACUAAUACUGAACUGUGAAAAUACGCUGUAUUCCAUUUGCAUGAACGUGCCCUCAAAAUGCGAAUUAUUAUUAAAUCUAAAGUGCGUUUUUAACAUGUAGGCUGUACUAGUGACGAAUUGGCCACGUUCAGUUUACGUGACAACCCUUACUAGUUGGCCGUGUCGGAUGGUGGCGGGUUUAAACGACACAUUUAUAUAUUGACGCGAUCUAACCCAAAAACCUCUAUUAUAAAUUAAAAGUGCAGUUUAAACGAGUAAUGCGCUACGUGCUUGGGCUAUAUAGGGUGAGAACCUGUGGUCUAAGUGACUACCGCAUAUUAACAUUUUAGUGCCCGCAGUGCUUUAUAACACAGGGCCCGCGUGCACAGUGCGGUGCAGGCAGUCUCAUGAGAAAAAAAUCACCACGAGUUUUCAAUUACAGAGGCUGGCGGCGUGACGAGGAGGUGGGGGGGACACUGGGUCAGCCACGCUGUUUUUUUUCCCCUCCGGAGAGCACGUGGACACAGCGUGAGUGAGCUACGACGAGGAGGAGGACGACGAGGAUGCACCUCUCGCAUUCACCAUCGCGUCUGCAUCAGCAGGGCUAAUGGUGGGGGCACGGAGGGAGCCCACCCGUUAUUAACGCGUUGUUCUCGUAACGCAUUAAGCUGUCCAUUCCACCCAUCUGUAACGUGGGGAGACGAUAACUCUUGACAGAAGCGGAUUCAAUAUGAGAAAGAAAGAAA
Petromyzon marinus (sea lamprey) is the source of this 5989-nucleotide long non-coding RNA. RefSeq lists it as uncharacterized. Lineage: Eukaryota; Metazoa; Chordata; Hyperoartia; Petromyzontiformes; Petromyzontidae. The record is from RefSeq and is a predicted model, not a curated record.